RNAcentral lists this ribosomal RNA (253 nucleotides) under uncultured bacterium. RNAcentral describes it as "partial 16S ribosomal RNA". It matches the Rfam family "Bacterial small subunit ribosomal RNA", at positions 524 to 776 of the family's 1533-position model. The record is from RNAcentral.
UACGGAGGGGGCGAGCGUUAUUCGGAAUUAUUGGGCGUAAAGGGCGCGUAGGCGGCUAGAUGUGUCAAAGGUGAAAUCCCUCGGCUCAACUGAGGAACUGCCUCUGAAACUGUCUGGCUUGAGGCCGGGAGAGGGUAGCGGAAUUCCCAGUGUAGCGGUGAAAUGCGUAGAUAUUGGGAGGAACACCAGUGGCGAAGGCGGCUACCUGGACCGGUUCUGACGCUGAGGCGCGAAAGCGUGGGUAGCAAACAGG